RNAcentral lists this ribosomal RNA (200 nucleotides) under uncultured bacterium. RNAcentral describes it as "partial 16S ribosomal RNA". It matches the Rfam family "Bacterial small subunit ribosomal RNA", at positions 524 to 723 of the family's 1533-position model. The record is from RNAcentral.
UACGGAGGGUGCAAGCGUUGUUCGGAAUUAUUGGGCGUAAAGCGAGUGCAGGCUGUAAGGUAUGUCUGGUGUGAAAGCCCGGGGCUCAACCCCGGAAGUGCAUUGGAAACUGCCUUACUUGAAUCUUGGAGAGGGUAGCGGAAUUCCUGGUGUAGAGGUGAAAUUCGUAGAUAUCAGGAGGAACACCGGUGGCGAAGGCG